This 404-nucleotide ribosomal RNA is filed under the name uncultured bacterium. RNAcentral's name for it is "bacterial SSU rRNA". It matches the Rfam family "Bacterial small subunit ribosomal RNA", at positions 29 to 417 of the family's 1533-position model. The record is from RNAcentral.
AGCGAACGCUGGCGGCGUGCUUAACACAUGCAAGUCGAGCGAGAAAGGGGGCUUCGGCCCCUGAGUACAGCGGCGAACGGGUGCGUAAUGCAUGAGCAAUCUACCCUUGAGGCGGGAAUAACCCAGCGAAAGUUGGGCUAAUACCGGAUAAGACCACAAGAGGAGACCCUAGAGGCUAAAGGCAGCUCUCUUUUGGGGGCGGCCCUUUGAGGAGGAGCUCAUGUCCUAUCAGCUAGUUGGUAGGGUAACGGCCUACCAAGGCGAAGACGGGUAGCUGGUCUUAGAGGAUGAUCAGCCACACGGGGACUGAGACACGGCCCCGACUCCUACGGGAGGCAGCAGUGGGAAUAUUGGGCAAUGGGGGAAACCCUGACCCAGCGACGCCGCGUGGGUGAUGACGGCCU